CCAAAGUAUGUGGUUGUUUUGAACUUCACCCAUGUGAAAAAGCCUUUCAUUGUGCCUUUUUAAUUGUUCUUAAUGCCAAGGUCCAAUGAUCAUAGAAUCAGAAAGAGCUUAUGGAUGAGGGUUUGUUCUUCAUUAGUUGCUUAAUCUGGUCUGCUGAAUGCUCAAAAAAUGCAUGGUUGAGAGAAGGGGUGCCACCAUUGCAUAGAUGGAGUGGAACAAAUUUGGGGGUGAUCUAUAAAUUGAUGGAAAGGACUAAGGAGAAUAGUGGAAGCACCAAGAUUAUGAUUUACCUACUUUUUUGUUUUUAAUUACUAUUAUUUGGGGGAGGUGCUGUCUAGUGAGGUCCUGAAGGUGGCAUGUCUAUGAUUUGAGAGCCAUCUUGAUUUCUUUGCAAGCUUAGCUUGGCAUACCUUGUUGGCAGCUCGGCUUAUUGUCAGUUUUGUGUGUUUCGUUUUACUUUGGUUACAAAAUUUACCUCCUCAAGUUGGCUAUUAAGAAGGGGGUAAAGAUGUUGGUGGUGUCAUUUAGUUGAGUUGGUUUAGAAAACACUUAUGGACUGUUUGGAUGACUGGGCCCAAAAUCCCUUAGAAAUCGUGGAUUUGGGCCAAUACGACUACCUAGACGAGGCUGGGCUAAACCUCAUCACGAAUGCCUAGAGAUCCAUUGUAGUGGGCCGGCACGAUCCUAUGGGGAGAAAAAAAAGACCUCAUCCCACAGGGAGGAAAAAAAUUCCUGCCGAGGUCUUUUUUUUCUCUCCCUAUGGGAUUCGGACCAGUUCACUAUAAUAGUUCUUUGGGUGUUUAUAAAGACAGGUUGGAUUAGGCCUCAUUUAGGUGGUUGUAUUGGCUCAAACCCAUGGUUCCUGUGGGAUUUUGGGCCCAGUUAUCCAAAUAGACCUUUAUUAGAAAUAUUCACUUAGACAUACACAAAUGGUUUCUUAUUCAUGUCAGAAUGGUUAACUGAUGAAUCCAUACCUGCGCCUGUCAGAUUACAGAAUUCUUUCAGAUGGUCAAAAUGGUGCCCUGCACAUACGAACUUUGCAGCAAAUCAAGUUGCACUUAAAACUCACACAUAUCCAAUACUUAUGUUUGUUUUUUUUUGUUUUUUUAAAUGUGACAGCCAACAGUUGGUGAUGCUAAUCUAGUGAUACAUUGUCCCCAGUUGCACCCAAN
Molecule: long non-coding RNA, 1172 nt
Filed under: Elaeis guineensis (African oil palm)
Lineage: Eukaryota; Viridiplantae; Streptophyta; Magnoliopsida; Arecales; Arecaceae
Description: long non-coding RNA (EGUI_LNC016176)
Source: RNAcentral